CAAAAAAGGCAAUAUACGAGAAACCAAGAAAUUAGUGAACGAUAGGUUUUCUUGCAAUUUUCUCUAUUUAUUUUAUGUUGUUCAGUAUACCUUCUGACAAAGGAUGCACCUGAGGGAGGAAAGGUUCCAGACGCGGAUCUGAAGGCUGGGGAUGGCGGGGAAGAAGAAGCGGUCGUCAGGGCUGAGGGAGAGGGCAGCGACGGCCUCGGAGUCGCCCUCGAGGGUCCCCUGGAAAGAGGCCUCCGCAGCAUUGACGACCUUGAUUUGGUCGCCGCAGGCGCAGGCGAGGAAGGCACCGCCGCUGUAGAGCUGCGGCGGCGUGGGUACGCACCGGUGGUUCCACUCAGGCCCAUUGGAGACGCGCCGUCGUCGGGGGUGGCGAGGUUUUUGCUAGGGUUUGGAAGGUACCGGCAAGGGGGCAGAGAGAGACCGAGAAAGAGCCCGUCGGAGCGAAGACCGGCGGGU
Molecule: long non-coding RNA, 465 nt
Filed under: Elaeis guineensis (African oil palm)
Lineage: Eukaryota; Viridiplantae; Streptophyta; Magnoliopsida; Arecales; Arecaceae
Description: long non-coding RNA (EGUI_LNC082501)
Source: RNAcentral